UGCAGAAUCUUGAAUCAUGUUAUCUGUCCUCUUAAAUAUGCUGUUUGUAACCCCAGAAUAGCAGCAGCACAUUUCGUUCCGUUUGGCAGCUGGGUGAACAGCAACAUGAACAGACAGCAGACACUAAAAGAGGACUCAGGACUGAAAAUAGGCUCUUUAAUUUUUCCUACUUAUUUGCUGACAGAUGGUUUCCAACAGCAUUUGUCAAGUGUUCCUUACUAUAUUGCAAGGAAAGUAAUAAUUUGAAGAGUCCUUAGACAGAUCUUUGUGCUGUAGAGUGAUGUAUUCAAAUAACAGGUCACGACGGUCACUAUUUUCCAGGAAAACAUCCUCUGCUUUCUUCCACUGGUUAUGAUUAGUACCCUUUUCCUAUGGCCAGUAGGAAAAACAUCUGUGGUAAGAUCACCAUUUAUCUCUGCAUUUCUUCAUGUGAUACAGACAGCUACCUGAAAUCCCAGAUGUUGGAUCAUGAAAUGUGUUCUCUCAGUGCCAGUGUCUGGUCACUUGGCAGAGUCCAAAGUUAUCAGAAGUCUGUCAUGCAAGCAGCUCUCAAAUUGCCUUUGGGUAAGUCAUGUGUUUUUGGCUUUCAUUAAAUCUGUGAGGGGAUUUGUGUUCUCCUGGUGCUAUGUUCCAUUUAGAUUCAUAGAUGUUAAGGCCAGAAGGGAGCAUUGUGAUCAUCUAGUCUGACCCCCCUGCAUAACACAAGCCACAGGAUACUCCUGAUUUAAUUCCUGUUUGAAGUAGAGCAUAGCUUUUACAGAAAAACAAACAAAUAAACAAACAAAAAAUCCCA
This 793-nucleotide long non-coding RNA is filed under the name Anas platyrhynchos platyrhynchos (common mallard). Its description in RNAcentral is "lncRNA (ENSAPLG00000023524.1)". The record is from RNAcentral. Lineage: Eukaryota; Metazoa; Chordata; Aves; Anseriformes; Anatidae.